GGCGUUGUGGCUUAGCAGGUAAAGCCACUGCCUGCAGUGCAGACAUCCCAUAUGGGCGCAGGUUCGAGUCCUGGCUGCUCUG
RNAcentral lists this transfer RNA (82 nucleotides) under Oryctolagus cuniculus (rabbit). It matches the Rfam family "tRNA". From Rfam's summary of the family: Transfer RNA (tRNA) molecules are approximately 80 nucleotides in length. Their secondary structure includes four short double-helical elements and three loops (D, anti-codon, and T loops). Lineage: Eukaryota; Metazoa; Chordata; Mammalia; Lagomorpha; Leporidae. The record is from Rfam by way of RNAcentral.